Molecule: long non-coding RNA, 1034 nt
Organism: Anolis carolinensis (green anole)
Lineage: Eukaryota; Metazoa; Chordata; Lepidosauria; Squamata; Anolidae
Exons: 2
Source: RefSeq, a predicted model, not a curated record
CAGAGUUUGGAUUAGAUAAACCAGUGGUAGACACUUGUUUCCUCAGUUUUCAGCUGCAAUCUAGGUGUGCAUGUUCUAGGGUCUGCUGCAAUGGUUCUCAUUGCUUUGAUAGACAUUUAGGCAUCUUCUGGAGUCAGUUACAGCAAUGAACAGGGGUAUAAGUCUCAGGACAGCAACCCAAGUUAGCAGAUAAUUGCACAGUAAGACAGCUGUGUUCAAAAUUACCCAUAGCUGCUUUCAUGCCUUCCUUUUAUACGCCAGUAGGAGGAGCAAGAAGGCGGAUGUAAGAGGGAGCUCUGAAAGGGGAGAGAGCAAGAGAGAAGAAAUGUGACUACUUGCAGAUGUUUUAAAAUAAUAUUUCAAAAAAACAGAGAAGACUGGGCAUCUCCCUUGAGUUGUCCUUCUACAGAUAUCUGCUGACAGGAAAAAGGAAGAGAGAACGACCUCCCCCAGGCAAACAGAAUGGUAAAGCAAGUAAACUGCUAAAGAAAGGAGAGGUUUCUCCAAAGGACGAUUCUAUAUCUGGCCUUCCAAAAAGACGGUUUCAUAAAAGACUCAUAGUAGCCUUUUCCAGUCCUCUAAUCCGACAGUUGCUGCUUUCUAUGCAUUCAUAUUUACAUCAUAAACAUGGAAUUUUCAUUAACAGAGUGUUAGUUGAGACUGGAAUAAGGCCUCUUAUUGGAAAUCACGUGUCAAAAAGUGGGACAGUUUCCACCAUCACAAAUUGCCUCUCUAAGCCUCAGAUAAACUUUUUGGGGAAAACUUAUCAGUCACACCCUCCCGAACAAUAUAACUGGCAGGGCUGUGGCGCAGGCUGGUUAGCAGCCAACUGCAACAAAUCACUCUGACCAAGAGGUCAUGAGUUCGAGGCCAGCCCGUGCCUGCAUCUGUCUCUGUCUCUGUUCUAUGUUAUGGCAUUGAAUGUUUGCUUUAUAUGUGCAAUGUGAUCUGCCCUGCCCUUCGGGGUGAGAAGGGUGGAAUAUAAAUACUGUAAAUAAAUAAAUAAAUAAACUGGUACGUUUUGAGAAGGGUAA